GAUGAACGCUGGCGGCGUGCCUAAUACAUGCAAGUCGAGCGAACGGACGAUAAGCUUGCUUCUCUGAUGUUAGCGGCGGACGGGUGAGUAACACGUGGAUAACCUACCUAUAAGACUGGGAUAACUUCGGGAAACCGGAGCUAAUACCGGAUAAUAUUUUGAACCGCAUGGUUCAAAAGUGAAAGACGGUCUUGCUGUCACUUAUAGAUGGAUCCGCGCUGCAUUAGCUGGUUGGUAAGGUAACGGCUUACCAAGGCAACGAUGCAUAGCCGACCUGAGAGGGGGAUCGGCGACACUGGAACUGAGCCGCCGUCCAGACUCCUACGGGAGGCAGCAGUAGCGAAUCUUCCGCAAUGGGCGGAAGCCUGACGGAGCGACGCCGCGUGAGUGAUGAAGGUCUUCGGAUCGUAAAACUCUGUUAUGAGGGAAGAACAUAUGUGUAAGUAACUGUGCACAUCGUGACGGUACCUGAUCAGAAAGCCACGGCUAACUACGUG
Molecule: ribosomal RNA, 497 nt
Filed under: uncultured bacterium
Lineage: Bacteria
Description: partial 16S ribosomal RNA
Rfam family: Bacterial small subunit ribosomal RNA
Source: RNAcentral